RNAcentral lists this ribosomal RNA (1542 nucleotides) under Escherichia coli. RNAcentral's name for it is "partial 23S ribosomal RNA". It matches the Rfam family "Bacterial large subunit ribosomal RNA", at positions 1273 to 2798 of the family's 2925-position model. Lineage: Bacteria; Pseudomonadati; Pseudomonadota; Gammaproteobacteria; Enterobacterales; Enterobacteriaceae. The record is from RNAcentral.
CUGGAGGUAUCAGAAGUGCGAAUGCUGACAUAAGUAACGAUAAAGCGGGUGAAAAGCCCGCUCGCCGGAAGACCAAGGGUUCCUGUCCAACGUUAAUCGGGGCAGGGUGAGUCGACCCCUAAGGCGAGGCCGAAAGGCGUAGUCGAUGGGAAACAGGUUAAUAUUCCUGUACUUGGUGUUACUGCGAAGGGGGGACGGAGAAGGCUAUGUUGGCCGGGCGACGGUUGUCCCGGUUUAAGCGUGUAGGCUGGUUUUCCAGGCAAAUCCGGAAAAUCAAGGCUGAGGCGUGAUGACGAGGCACUACGGUGCUGAAGCAACAAAUGCCCUGCUUCCAGGAAAAGCCUCUAAGCAUCAGGUAACAUCAAAUCGUACCCCAAACCGACACAGGUGGUCAGGUAGAGAAUACCAAGGCGCUUGAGAGAACUCGGGUGAAGGAACUAGGCAAAAUGGUGCCGUAACUUCGGGAGAAGGCACGCUGAUAUGUAGGUGAAGUCCCUCGCGGAUGGAGCUGAAAUCAGUCGAAGAUACCAGCUGGCUGCAACUGUUUAUUAAAAACACAGCACUGUGCAAACACGAAAGUGGACGUAUACGGUGUGACGCCUGCCCGGUACCGGAAGGUUAAUUGAUGGGGUUAGCCGCAAGGCGAAGCUCUUGAUCGAAGCCCCGGUAAACGGCGGCCGUAACUAUAACGGUCCUAAGGUAGCGAAAUUCCUUGUCGGGUAAGUUCCGACCUGCACGAAUGGCGUAAUGAUGGCCAGGCUGUCUCCACCCGAGACUCAGUGAAAUUGAACUCGCUGUGAAGAUGCAGUGUACCCGCGGCAAGACGGAAAGACCCCGUGAACCUUUACUAUAGCUUGACACUGAACAUUGAGCCUUGAUGUGUAGGAUAGGUGGGAGGCUUAGAAGUGUGGACGCCAGUCUGCAUGGAGCCGACCUUGAAAUACCACCCUUUAAUGUUUGAUGUUCUAACGUUGACCCGUAAUCCGGGUUGCGGACAGUGUCUGGUGGGUAGUUUGACUGGGGCGGUCUCCUCCUAAAGAGUAACGGAGGAGCACGAAGGUUGGCUAAUCCUGGUCGGACAUCAGGAGGUUAGUGCAAUGGCAUAAGCCAGCUUGACUGCGAGCGUGACGGCGCGAGCAGGUGCGAAAGCAGGUCAUAGUGAUCCGGUGGUUCUGAAUGGAAGGGCCAUCGCUCAACGGAUAAAAGGUACUCCGGGGAUAACAGGCUGAUACCGCCCAAGAGUUCAUAUCGACGGCGGUGUUUGGCACCUCGAUGUCGGCUCAUCACAUCCUGGGGCUGAAGUAGGUCCCAAGGGUAUGGCUGUUCGCCAUUUAAAGUGGUACGCGAGCUGGGUUUAGAACGUCGUGAGACAGUUCGGUCCCUAUCUGCCGUGGGCGCUGGAGAACUGAGGGGGGCUGCUCCUAGUACGAGAGGACCGGAGUGGACGCAUCACUGGUGUUCGGGUUGUCAUGCCAAUGGCACUGCCCGGUAGCUAAAUGCGGAAGAGAUAAGUGCUGAAAGCAUCUAAGCACGAAACUUGCC